Molecule: ribosomal RNA, 637 nt
Filed under: uncultured bacterium
Lineage: Bacteria
Description: bacterial SSU rRNA
Rfam family: Bacterial small subunit ribosomal RNA
Source: RNAcentral
UAAAGAUUCAUCGCUGAUAGAUAGGCAUGCGUUCCAUUAGGCAGUUGGCGGGGUAACGGCCCACCAAACCGACGAUGGAUAGGGGUUCUGAGAGGAAGGUCCCCCACAUUGGUACUGAGACACGGACCAAACUCCUACAGGAGGCAGCAGUGAGGAAUAUUGGUCAAUGGGCGUAAGCCUGAACCAGCCAAGUCGCGUGAGGGAUGAAGGUUCUAUGGAUCGUAAACCUCUUUUAUAAGGGAAUAAAGUGCGGGACGUGUCCCGUUUUGUAUGUACCUUAUGAAUAAGGAUCGGCUAACUCCGUGCCAGCAGCCGCGGUAAUACGGAGGAUCCGAGCGUUAUCCGGAUUUAUUGGGUUUAAAGGGUGCGUAGGCGGCCUUUUAAGUCAGCGGUGAAAGUCUGUGGCUCAACCAUAGGAUUGCCGUUGAAACUGGGAGGCUUGAGUAUGUUUGAGGCAGGCGGAAUGCGUGGUGUAGCGGUGAAAUGCUUAGAUAUCACGCAGAACCCCGAUUGCGAAGGCAGCCUGCCAAGCCAUGACUGACGCUGAUGCACGAAAGCGUGGGGAUCAAACAGGAUUAGAUACCCUGGUAGUCCACGCAGUAAACGAUGAUCACUAGCUGUUUGCGAUACACAGUAA